RNAcentral lists this unclassified non-coding RNA (342 nucleotides) under soil metagenome. RNAcentral's name for it is "partial contains 5.8S ribosomal RNA, internal transcribed spacer 2, and large subunit ribosomal RNA". The stretch from base 1 to 120 matches the Rfam family "5.8S ribosomal RNA", at positions 35 to 154 of the family's 154-position model. The record is from RNAcentral.
GAUGAAGAACGCAGCGAAAUGCGAUAAGUAAUGUGAAUUGCAGAAUUCAGUGAAUCAUCGAAUAUUUGAACGCACAUUGCGCCCGCCAGCACUCUGGCGGGCAUGCCUGUUCGAGCGUCAUUUCAACCAUCAAGCCCCCAGGGGCUUGUGCUGGGGCCCUGCGGCUGCCCGCAGGCCCUGAAAACCAGUGGCGGGCUCGCUAGUCACACCGAGCGCAGUAGCACAUCUCGCUCAGGGCGUGCGGCGGGCUCCUGCCGUGAAACCCCCCACUGUAACCCCAAAGGUUGACCUCGGAUCAGGUAGGAAUACCCGCUGAACUUAAGCAUAUCAAUAAGCGGAGGA